This 497-nucleotide ribosomal RNA is filed under the name uncultured bacterium. Its description in RNAcentral is "partial 16S ribosomal RNA". It matches the Rfam family "Bacterial small subunit ribosomal RNA", at positions 28 to 507 of the family's 1533-position model. The record is from RNAcentral.
GAUGAACGCUGGCGGCGUGCCUAAUACAUGCAAGUCGAGCGAACGGACGAGAAGCUUGCUUCUCUGAUGUUAGCGGCGGACGGGUGAGUAACACGUGGAUAACCUACCUAUAAGACUGGGAUAACUUCGGGAAACCGGAGCUAAUACCGGAUAAUAUUUUGAACCGCAUGGUUCAAAAGUGAAAGACGGUCUUGCUGUCACUUAUAGAUGGAUCCGCGCGGCAUUAGCUAGUUGGUAAGGUAACGGCUUACCAAGGCAACGAUGCAUAGCCGACCUGAGAGGGUGAUCGGCCACACUAGAACUGAGACACGGUACAGACUCCUACGGGAGGCAGCGGUAGGGAAUCUUACGCAAUGGGCGAAAGCCUGACGGAGCAACGCCGCGUGAGUGAUGAAGGUCUUCGGAUCGUAAAACUCUGUUAUUAGGGAAGAACAUAUGUGUAAGUAACUGUGCACAUCUGGACGGUACCUAAUCAGAAAGCCACGGCAAACUACGUG